RNAcentral lists this transfer RNA (76 nucleotides) under Candidatus Woesebacteria bacterium RIFOXYA1_FULL_40_18. RNAcentral describes it as "tRNA-Glu". It matches the Rfam family "tRNA". Rfam says of the family: Transfer RNA (tRNA) molecules are approximately 80 nucleotides in length. Their secondary structure includes four short double-helical elements and three loops (D, anti-codon, and T loops). Further hydrogen bonds mediate the characteristic L-shaped molecular structure. tRNAs have two regions of fundamental functional importance: the anti-codon, which is responsible for specific mRNA codon recognition, and the 3' end, to which the tRNAs corresponding amino acid is attached (by aminoacyl-tRNA synthetases). tRNAs cope with the degeneracy of the genetic code in two manners: having more than one tRNA (with a specific anti-codon) for a particular amino acid; and 'wobble' base-pairing, i.e. permitting non-standard base-pairing at the 3rd anti-codon position. RNAcentral also lists the same sequence under 2 other names. The record is from RNAcentral. Lineage: Bacteria; Candidatus Woeseibacteriota.
GGCCCCAUCGUCUAGUGGUCCAGGACACCAGAUUCUCAUUCUGGGAACUUGGGUUCGAGUCCCAAUGGGGUCACCA